AAAUUUCUUGCUUUUUCAAAACCAAUGAUCACGGUGUUUUGGUUUAUGAGACUGCAUUUUUGUCAACCCUUCUUCAUGAUUUAGUCAAAUCUACCAUUGAGAAGUACAGCUAUGUUUGGAGAGUAUACAGUAAACUUGGAUAUGCUCACUAUAUUCAUGGGCGUGCAAAGUCUUGCUGCUUGAUUAUUCCCACCAUUUUUUUUAUGCAACAAUGCUUCCUUAGUUAUGCCUGGUAUAGUUAAUUAGUCUUCUUUCAAUGUUAUCUAACCAGAUAGUCAGCCAGUAGCCUAGCACCAUCACAUAUUUUACGCUCGUAUUGUAAUCAAAUAGCUAAAACUAGAUUUGUUUGCC
This 351-nucleotide long non-coding RNA is filed under the name Populus trichocarpa (black cottonwood). RNAcentral's name for it is "long non-coding RNA (PTRI_LNC001284)". The record is from RNAcentral. Lineage: Eukaryota; Viridiplantae; Streptophyta; Magnoliopsida; Malpighiales; Salicaceae.